RNAcentral lists this long non-coding RNA (41286 nucleotides) under Triticum aestivum (bread wheat). RNAcentral describes it as "long non-coding RNA (TAES_LNC007741)". The stretch from base 36920 to 37005 matches the Rfam family "MIR1120/MIR1122 microRNA precursor family". The record is from RNAcentral. Lineage: Eukaryota; Viridiplantae; Streptophyta; Magnoliopsida; Poales; Poaceae.
UUUAUGAGUUUUGAUGUACCGAAGGAGUUCGGAGUCCCGGAUGAGAUCGGGGACAUGACGAGGAGUCUCGAAAUGGUCGAGACGUAAAGAUCGAUAUAUUGGACGACUAUAUUCGGAGUUCGGAAAGGUUCCGAGUGAUUCGGGUAUUUUUCGGAGUACCGGAGAGUUACGGGAAUUCGUAUUGGGCCUUAAUGGGCCAUACGGGAAAGGAGAAAAAGGGCCAAAAGGGUGGCCGCCGCCCUCCCCUUGGUCUAGUCCGAAUUGGACUAGGGAGGGGGGCGCACCCUUCCUUCCUUCUCCUUCUCUUUUCCCUUUCCUUCUCUCCUACUCCUAAUACAUGGAAGGACUACUAGUUGGACUAGGAAAGGGGGAAUCCUACUCCCGGUGGGAGUAGGACUCCCCAUGGCGCACCAUAGAGAGGGCCGGCCUCCUCCUCCCUCCCUCCUUUAUAUACGGGGGCAGGGGGCACCCCAUGAACACACAAGUUGAUCUACGGAUCGUUCCUUAGCCGUGUGCGGUGCCCCCCUCCACCAUAUUCCACCUCGGUCAUAUCGUCGCAAAGCUUAGGCGAAGCCCUGCGCCGGUAGAACAUCAAGAUCGUCACCACGCCGUCGUGCUGACGAAACUCUCCCUCCCCGAAGCUCUACUGGAUUGGAGCCCGAGGAGCGUCAUCGAGCUGUACGUGUGUCAAGAACUCGGGGGCGCCGGAGUAACGGCGCCGGGAUCGGUCGGAUCGCGAGGAGAACGUACGACUACUUCCUCUACGUUGUGAUCGCUUCCGCUUCGGUCUACGAGGGUACGUAGACAGCACUCUCCCCUCUCGUUGCUAUGCAUCACCAUGAUCUUGCGUGUGCGUAGGAAAUUUUUUGAAAUUACUACGUUCCCCAACACUACAAGUCAAUGCGUUCAACUGAACGUUACAUUCUUUGAGCACUGCGACUCUAUCAUACGAGCGCCACGCAUAACUUCCCCGAAAUAAUGCUCGGCAGGAAGCCGGUUUCCAUCCGAACCCUGGGCAGCAACAGCGGUGGCAUCCAUCUCCGGACACCGCGCCUUUACACGGGCCAGAGCCAUCCGCGCGCCCUCGAUGUAGGCCGACCGUUUCAUCUCCUUGAUAUGCGGCACCGCCCCAAGGAACUGCUGCAGUAGGCCGAAGUAGCUCGUCGCCUUGGACCUCUCUGGCCAUAUAUGGGCCACGAUGUCAGUCAUAGCCAGCCUGGACAGUCUAUUCAGUUCGGCCCAUUCGGCCAACCUGUCCGUCAGCGGAAGAGGGCGAUCCGGACUGUGGAAUUGAGUCCAAUAUAACUCUUCCGCCUCGUGAUCCCCCUGGCUCCGGAAGUGCUUAACGGCAUCAGCCGCACUCGCAGCCAAAUCCAUAUAUGGCCUCCGAACUCCACAGCCGCUCAAAUUGAGCGUACUUGGCAUCCAUAAACCGGCGACGCAUAAGAAACGGCUUGCCAGCCGUGAUUUCUCCGGCUUGGCGCAGCUCCUCCUUCAUAGCCCGCAUUGCAGAACAGGCAUCCUUGGCUUCGGCGGUGGCCUUCUUCAGGUCUUCCCGCUCCGAUAAGCGCUCCUUUUCAAGAGCCUCAUUGCGGUCGGUAGCAUCCUUUAAUUUCUUGGCCAAUUCGGCCACCUCUGCUUAGGCAGUGCGCCGCCUUCUCGGCUUUCAACUCUUCGGCCGCCCUCGCGGCAGCCACGUCACUCCUUCGGGCUUGCUCCUUAGCCAGAGCAAGUUCGGCCCGAAGGCUCUCCACAGCAGCAGCACUAUCUGUAUUAACAACAUAUAACUUAUCAGAGGCGGGCUUGGACCCACUCAAUAAAGCAGCUGCGGAGAACUUACUUACCUUGCGACUCAUCAAGUCGCUGAUUGACAAGGGCGAUGUCAGCAUCUGCCACGUCAAGUUGUCGACUUAAUUCGACAAACUCACUAGUCCGGCUGGCCCCCGGACUAUCCGCCACCUGUAUCAGAGCGGCGGUAUUCAUUGCCUGAGAUGUUGAGAUUUUGAUCCUUGGCACGCUGUCGUUUUCGACAACCUACCGAGUCUCAGGGGCUACUAUCUAUACAGGGCGCAUUUUUUAUAUGCAAAACUGUUAAAAAACAAAGGGGUGCAUCAUUUUCGCAUACCUCAAAUCCCGCCAGCAAGCUCAGGGCGGCAUUACGCAAUCCGCUUUCAGCGGACGAAAUCCUUCCGACCACCGUACGCAUUAAUACGCGGUGAUCUUCUGAAAUGGACGCCCUCUCAAGCAAACUCUUCAGUUCUCCCGGCCGGACUCUGGUGGGUGUUGAACUCUUUGGCCCCUCCGGACUCGGGGACGCCCUCCGUGACGACACUUCGGGCUCGCCUGCCUCAUCCGGCGGCGCGUCAGACGGAGGCGUAUCGCUCUCCAUCAUCUCCGGAAGAAGAUCCCCCGAGGAUGAACUCAUCUGAGACGGCUGCAGAUCCGAACUGCGACAUAAAUAUUCCGGUUACCUACAGAAGCGUAAACGAAGGUACUUCCUUAUUAAACUUCCUCUUUCAUACUCACGGCUCGUUGGAGGGCCGGUCCUUGGGCGAUGAUUGCGCGCCCGGAUUCCCUCCGGACGCCGGACCCCCCGGUGGGGAUUUCUUCCCACGCUUAGGGGCUUUGACCUCCGGAUCUUCGGAGGCGGUCCUCUUCUCCCUCUGAAGGGAGGGAUCCUUGGUUCCCUCCUCUUCAGUCGCCCCUUUGGACGAAGUAUUAGCUCCUUUAUCUCCCCCGUCGCCCCCCUCUGUGGGCGCAACCUCCAACAUUCUGACCAGCACGGGCUCCAGUGCGGUCUCUGGGAGGGGGGCCGGACACCUUAUCAGCCUUGAUCGCGCCACCCAUUCCUAUAAAGAACAAAAAGGGUCAGGAGAUGAUCUUUUGAAAGGCAUACAAAUAGAAUGUCCGAGCUCUGAGCUACUUACCUGAGUAUCCGGGCGAUCGCGGCUUAAGCCCGCGUCCUCGGCCGAAUCCGGACACGCUACCUGCGGUCCGAAGAACAGCUUGUACAUCUCCGUGGGUGUCGCGCCCAUAAAAUGCUGGAGAAUACGAGGUCCCUCCGGAUUGAACUCCCAUAGACGGAGAGGACGACGUUUGCAGGGCAGGAGAUGCCUGAUUAGCAUGACUUGCAUCACCUUGACCAGGUCGAUCUCCCCUGUUCGGAGGUCUUGAAUCCGGCCCUGCAGUGCGGGCACGUCCUCGGACGGCCCCCAGUUGAGCCCUUGGUUGACCCACGACAUUAGUUGCCGUGGAGGUCCCGGGCGGAAGGAGGGCGGUGGCUUUUGCUUGCUGCCCCUUGGAGCAGUGAUCUAAAACCACUCCUGCUGCCACAAUCCCUGCUCCUCUUGGAAGGAACCUUCGAGCCACGGGGCAUCGACCUUCUUGCUUAUGGUCGCCCCGCCGCACUCCGCUUGACGCCCCCCGAUCAUCUUCGGCUCCACCUUGAAUGUUUUCAGCCACAGGCCGAAGUGGGGGAUGACGCGGAGGAAGGCUUCGCAGACGAUAAUGAAUGCGGAGAUAUGGAGGAUGGACUCCGGAGCCAAAUCAUGGAAGUCCAGCCCGUAGUAGAAAAGGAGCCCUCUCACAAAGGGAUCCGUCGGGAAGCCUAAUCCCCGACGGAGGUGAGAUGCGAAAACGACGCGCUCGCCGGGCUCGGGGGCUGGCACGGCCUGCCCUGGGGCAGGCAACCUGUGCGAAACUUCGUAGGCCAGGUACUUGGCCUCCCGCAACUUGAAAAUGUCCUCCUCCGUGACGGAGGAGGGCAUCCACCGGCCCUGGAGGUCGGAGCCGGAAAUUGUAUAGGAUCCGAAGCGCUCGAAUCUGAAGCUCGGGGUGUUGGAACUAGGAGCAGAGGAAAGAUUCGAUGCGAGAUUGAAGAACAAGGACAGGCCUUGGUCCUCUUAUAAAGGGGGAAGAAAUACCAAGGCCCGUCUCCGUGACCGUUUGAGAUUCCUGUUCGAUAGAGGAGGCGUGGCGACGGGGACGGUUGGGUUACCCACACACGUAUUGAUGAGGAUCCCGGAAUAAAAGGGAACACGAUCUCUGCUUCGACAGGACGUGCCAAGGAAAUUGCUUCGCUAAACGUGCUGAGGCGGAAUAAUAAAAACGAUUCGAACAAGGGCUUGGCUGCGGUGUGAUGUCACGCCGCAUAAUACGUCAGCAGAUUGAGCUAAGUGUAUAUUUUAUCCUCUCUACGUUGGAGUGUGGAAUUUAUUUUGCAGAGUCGAAUACUAUCCUGGUAUUCAUUAUCUUCUCCGGAUUAUUCAAGGGAGGAACCCGCCUUGCAAUGCCGAACAUUAUGCACGCCGGACUUAUCGUCAUUGAAGACUGGUUAAGGGGCUACUGAGGGAGUCCUGGACUAGGGGGUGUCCGGACAGCCGGACUAUCAAUAUCCGCCGGACUCCCAGACUACGAAGAUAGAAGAUUGAAGACUCCGGCUCGUGUCCGGAAGGUACUUUCCUUGGCGUGGAAGGCAAGCUUGGCAAUACGGAUAUGUAGAUCUCCUACCAUUGUAACCGACUCUGUGUAACCCUAGCCUCUCCGGUGUCUAUAUAAACCGGAGGGCCUUAGUCCGUAGGACAACAUUACAUCUCAACAAUCAUACCAUAGGCUAGCUUCUAGGGUUUAGCCUCCUUGAUCUUGUGGUAGAUCUACUCUUGUACUACCCAUAUCAUCAAUAUUAAUCAAGCAGGACGUAGGGUUUUACCUCCAUCGAGAGGGCCCGAACCUGGGUAAAAACAUUGUGUCCCUCGUCUCCUGUUACCAUCCGCCUAGACGCACAGUUCGGGACCCCCUACCCGAGAUCCGUCGGUUUUGACACCGACAUUCCUCCUUUCCUUCUUUGAAGUACCGGUAGGGGUACGGAAAAGAUUGGAUUUUUAUCGAUCUGGAUUUUUUUGGCAAAUCGACGAAAAUAAAACUAAAUACAGGUUGGCAAAUGGGACACUAUUUGUAGACCGAAGGACCAAGGUGGCUUACCUAUUGAAAACCUUGAAGUGAAAAAUAAGUGAUUACUUAGCAAAUGGUUAUACCGAUUGGCGGUAGAGAGGGAUGGAGUAUGGAUUUAGCUGUUGCAUAAUAAAUAUUUACAUUGUAAAACGUUGGCUCAAGGGACAUCACAUCCAUCCGACUCUCCGUUUUGGAAGGAGCCUAUGAGGACAAAGGUUGCCUUCUUUAACUGGAGUAAGUUUAUUGUAUGGAAUGGACAUGGGACUAGGUUUUGGACGGACACUUGGUUGGGUGAGACUCCACUAGCCUUGCAGUAUCCGUCCUUAUAUAACAUGAAAACAGAAUGAGCGGUCGGUGAAAAUCCAAUGGCUGAAAUGGUUGAGUUGACCAGAUCUGAUGGCCAGGAAUGCCACAAAUCGAGAGCUCACCAUGGAAGCAAGUUGGCUAGGGUCCUUGUAGGUUAGAAUUGCACAACGGAAAAAAGUUUAUGUUGCUAUAGUGUUGUGAUACGUUCUUCUUAACAUUCAGUUCAGAUGGUCGUUAGUGGGUCAAAGAUUGGAUAGAUGGUUGCAUCUCGUGCGCAUGUUAAUGCAGGUAAACUUAUCUGAUGCAGCAGACUCCUUAUUUUGGAAGUUGUCCGCUUUAGGAGAGUUCUUAGUUAAAUCUAUGUAGACAGACUUGAUUAACACCGGGCCCAUCCUGAGGGCGAUCCACAUCUGAAAGAUUAAGGUACCAUUGAAAAUCAAGGUGUUUAUGUGGUUUGUGCAUAAAGGAGUAAUUUUGACAAAAGAUAACUUGGCUAAGUGUAGUUGGGAAGGAAGUAAAAGAUGUUGCUUUUGUGACACAGACGAAACAAUAGAGCAUCUAUUCCUCCAAUGCCCACUUGCUAAAUUAUUGUGGCGAACCAUUCAUGUUGCUUUUAAUAUUGUUCCGCCUCGGUCUCACAUUUAUUUGGGUCUUGGUUAAAUUGGAUAGAGCCCAAAACAGCGACACACAUUUGAGUUGGGGUAUGUGCAUUACUUUGGCUCAUUUGAAAUUAUCGAAACGAUGUUGCCUUUUACAGACAAACCAUCACCAAUUUUUUGCAGGUUAUCUUCAAGGCGUCUACUUGGAUCUGUAUGUGGUCAUUACUCAACCAUGUGGACCACAGGGAGCAUAUAUGGAUAUUGGGUGCAACCGAUGGGAGAUGAUUGCACGGGAUACUUAUAACCGGUUUGGAUGCGGUCCAAUAAUAGGAUAGGUUUUAGUCAUCUUACCCUAUUUUCCUUAGUUGUGGCAAAUUCCUUUUUUGAGACUUGUACUUUUGUUUGAGACUUCGUGUUGAACUUGGAUUAUAAAUAAAAUGGUUGUGUGCAUCAAAAGAUGCAGAGGUCGAGGGUUUUCCUCCUUUUCGAAAAAAAAAUUGUACUCAAGUUGCUCGUCCGGAAAAUCAAGGCUUGUCUACCUCUCUUGUCUUUUCACAUGGAGCGUGUACUGGCCAUACUACUAAGACUAGCCACUAGAAUAAUAAAUUUGGUUUUGCCAAUUCUCACUCCGAUGAGAAUUAACUAAAUCUCACUCAACAACACGGUAUGGAUUUACACGAAGAUUGAUGCAUAUUUUUCUUUUUUUUGUUCCGUUUGAUUGUUUUACAAUUUUUUAUUGUUUUGGCUAGCGAGCAUGCACUACAGUUGUGUGGCCGACUGGCGGAACUUGAUCCAUCAUUUGUAUGUGGCCUUUGAAUUACAUGAUGAGGUCAUUGACAAGGAUGACAAACCAAAUUCCUUUAACAGGAGGUGAAGUUCUACAAACCAUUUUAAUUUUUUAAAAUACUGGCGAUAGAAUAUAUGCAUAAGCUACAUUUGGAAACCAAAUAUAAAAAACAUAAGUCAUCAUGGCACAUCCUAUUACUUGCCAUUCCCAAUGAAUGGUAUUCUCGCCUGUUGAUUUUAGAUAGAAUUGCAACUAAUGUAAUUUCUUGUGCUAUAUUAAUUUGAAUUUUCAAUUCCAUAAUUUUUGGUAUGUCAAUGUGUUAUUUUACACCGGUCAUUGGCAUAUUUUCCAAAAUUAAAAAGUGCAACAAAAAGGUGUACGGAAACAGGGAAAGGAAAAACUGAAAGUGAAAGUUAUAGGGAAAUUAGAUAAAUAUACAAUAAAAUGUCAUAAUUCUACAUGAAAAUACUAAUAUAGCACAAUAAAAUAUAUUAUGUGUAAUAUGAACCUCCCUAAGGCCACAUGUUUAUCUAUCGGUCACUUUGAACAUACUGAAGAUGAUGCUCUCUUUUUUGUGAAUGCCAUCAAGCUAGUUACUAGACCAGAAAAAUAGAGACCAAACGGGUAGAGCACACAAGUAUAGUGAUCCAUGAUAUGCAGCAAAGCAUGUACAACUAGUUAAGAGCAUUUAUAGUCGGGCGUUUCAAACCAAUCUCAAACGACUGGGAUGACCGACACCCCUUAUAUCAAGCCCAAAUCUGAGCAGAUAUGGGGUAGCCCAGGAGCGUCCGCCAUGUUGGACUGAUGACCGGGUCUCACACACGUAAUCGCCCAUAAACCCAACGUUCGAUGGGCGUUUCCUCUGGUGGUGGUUGUAAAAGUGAUUUGGGAAGCGUAGAACCCUUUGUCUCGGGCCGCAUGCAUAUAUUAGGCAGAAGCCUUGGCACACAAGUUUACAGGGGGAGAGAUCAAUCAGAUGGGAUCGAUCAAGUCGUUACAGAAGGAUCGUGAAAGACAGAAGAAGAGAUAGAACAGAAUACAGAAUUUAAACCAACUCUAUCUCUAUAUAACUUCUACUACACUUCUACUAUACGUAUAUUCCAACACUCCCCCUCAAUCUAAACCUCAAGGAGCUUUGCCAAGGUUAAGAUUGUACUUGAAAUCAUUCAACCUCCUUUCAAUAAGGGGUUUUGUAAAACCAUCGGCAAGUUGAUCUCCUGUGGGAAUAAACCGAAUCUCCAGAAGCUUUCGAGCUACUCUUUCUCUGACAAAAUGGAAAUCAACUUCAAUGUGUUUAGUCCGUGCAUGAAAAACAGGAUUUGCUGAGAGAUACGUUGCACCAAUAUUAUCACACCAUAAUCUCGCAGCCUGUGGAGUUUUAACUCCAAGCUCAUAAAGUAAUGUUUGUAUCCACAUUACUUCUGCUGUGGCAUUAGCCAGAGCCUUAUAUUCAGCCUCUGUGCUUGACCUGGACACUGUAGCCUGUUUUCUUGCACUCCAUGACACAAGGUUAGUUCCCAGAAAUACAGCAAAACCACCUGUAGAUCUUCUAUCAUCAGCACAUCCUGCCCAAUCAGCAUCAGAGUAUGCAGUAACAAGCAGAGAAGAGGACUUGGUAAUGUUGAGACCAAGACCUUUUGAGAACUUGAGAUACCUUAAAAUUCUUUUGACUGCAGUCCAAUGUGUGGUUCUAGGUGCAUGUAGAUAUUGACAUACCUUGUUCACUGAAUAAGAUAUAUCAGGACGGGUGAGAGUUAAAUACUGCAAGGCACCUACAACACUCCUAUAAUUUGUUGCAUCCUCUCGUCCAAGAACUUCUCCACUUUCCACUGUAAGCUUCUCAGAGGUAGAAAUCGGUGUGUUAACUGGCUUGCAAUUUUCCAACCCUACUCUCCUGAGAAUAUCAGUUGUAUAUUUUUCCUGUGAGAGAAGUAUGCCAUCUUUAACUUGCUUUACCUCUAUACCAAGAAAAUAAUGAAGAUCACCCAAGUCCUUAAGAGCAAACUCCAGCUUCAGAUCUUUAAGCAAGCAAGUAGUGGCAUCUGAACUUGAACUUGCAACAAUUAUAUCAUCAACAUAAACCAGCACAAAAAUAGUAACAUUGCCUUUGCUAAAGAAGAAUAAUGAGGUAUCUGCCUUGGAUGGUCUGAACCCAAGACGUUGCAACUGCAUACUUAGUCUGGAGUACCAGGCUCUUGGGGCCUGCUUCAAACCAUACAAAGCUUUAUCCAACUUACAGACAUGUUGUGGUGUGCUAGGAUUCUCAUAACCUGGUGGUUGCCGCAUGAACACUUCUUCCUCAAGAACACCAUGAAGAAACGCGUUCUGAACAUCUAGCUGUCUUAAACUCCAUCCUCUGGAAACAACAAUAGACAAGACAAGGCGAAUAGUAGUUGACUUAAUAACAGGACUGUAUGUAUCUUCAUAAUCAAUUCCAAACCUCUGUUUAAACCCUUUGGCAACUAGUCUAGCCUUAUACCUGUCUAUGCUUCCAUCAGACUUUCUUUUGAUUUUGUACACCCAUUUGCAAUCAAUAACAUUGUUUCCAUACUUUGGUGGAAGCAAAUGCCAGGUUUUAUUUUUCAUAAGUGCAUCAUAUUCACUAUCCAUAGCUUCCUUCCAAUUCUUAUUAUCAAGAGCAUCAUCCAAACUUAGUGGUUCACCAGUGGUGGUAAGAAAAGCACGUUUGAUUUUGUCAUACCUUAUUGUACCAUCAUUGUACUUUUUUUCCUUGAUGGUACCUGACCUGGACCGUGUUUGCCGAGGAGAAACCACUACUAGGGAAAAGCCUAGCAGCAGCGCGGGUUUGGGCCCUCUCAGUAGCGCGGGUACCGGCGCUACUAAUAAGGCGCUACAGCUAACGUAUAGCAGUAGCGCGUGCUGACACACGCUACUGCUACACAUGAAUAGCUGCAGCGCUGUUUAGAAAAGGACGCUACUGGUAUUAUCUGCAGUGCUGUUUUGGUGUAAGCGCUAAUGGUAAGUCGGCGCUACUGCUAAAUCCCCCCCUCGCUACUACUAGUUUUAUUAGUUUUUUUUCCCUGCAGAUUUGUUUUUUAUUUGUUUUGCAUUUGAAUAGGCUUUAUACAAUAAUCUUUAGCAUAUCAUCCACAUACAAAUGUAAUCAUAGCAUAUACAUACAAUUAGUCUCAUCAAAUCAUGUCAUCAUCAUAAUCAUCAUCCAACACAAAGUGGUCUCUCGUCAUCAAUCUCGAAAAUAGCGAUACAAGUCUCGAUUACUUGCAAAUACAUCAUCAUCCAUCUAAAUAAUGAUAUACAUGAGAAUAGCUAUCACUUUGAGUACAUGAGUUCGUAUCCCUCUCUCGCAUUAGCGUGAACCUAAACUAAGUACUGCGUGUCGCUCGGAAACCGAAAACCGGUACACCUGGGCCUGACACUCCGGCCACUUGUCGUAUAUAUACUCCUGGCGUAGCACUUCUUCGCCAUUUAUGAUCUAUGCACCUGCAUCGUCACAUGAGUCGAUGAUAUGCAACAUAUAUAGUUGAGCAACACAAAGAGAUAGACUUGGCAAAAAUAGAAACAACAUAUCAUAAGCAUAAAUAACAAAGUUCAUCGUACCGAAAUGACCUAACUAGAGUGAUUUUCGCUAGUCGAGGAGGACGGUUUAAUUACAUCACAAAUAAAGUUUCACCGUGCAUAACUCAAAGUUUUGUCAUAAAAGAAACUAUGGACUAAACGGACACAUUGUCAUAUAUCGACAAUCACUCCAUCAUGUCGUGCCAUCCAUCCAAGUCAGGGAGAUAGUCAUCGAGCUUUGUGAAAGGCUUCAUGUCGAGACGCUGAGAGGCUAUCCAUGUUCGGACGUCUUCCCGCGACAUUUGUCCUUCUGCAUGGAACAUCCCUGUUUUUCCGACGACCUCAUUCAUGAUGAUUUGGGCAAGUUCGCACUGGAUGUUAUAGAACUCAGCUCAAAGUCGAUGAUCCUCGAUAUCUCCUAUGUCCUUUGCCCAUUGCAGAAUAUGGGCAUCGCUAGAUCUAGGUGCCAUGUGUAGGUUCUGGUGAUCCCGUCGGUACUCCAGCAUGUGGUGUAGGACAUAGAAUCCAUCAUUAAGAGAAUCGUUCGGUUGCUGGAUGCAGCAGAAGUCGGUCUUAUGGCUGAAGGCGUGCCUGCCGCCCCUUUUCUUCUUGUCCCUAACCUCUCCACCCCUUGCUUGGUAGUAAAACAUAGCAUUGUCGAGAACAUCUUUGAUGUGGGUGUAAUCCUUUUUGUGAAUGUUCUUCGACGAGUCCAAGUAAAGAGCGUGGGAGAAUCAGGGGUAGAGGAUGAUGAGGACGGCGCGCCCGCCGCUGCGCAAAAUAAGUACACCUUAAAUUAAUUAGCCUCCACCGUGCAAAUGAAUUAUUGAAAUCGAAGGAAGGAUAGCAGCGCAGAUGACUUACACGGGAUGAUAAGGCACGAGAAUCGCCUCCUUGUCCUUAUUGGCGAGCAUGAAACUGACGAUGUAAUCCCUCGCGUAUUCACGAUGAUGUGCACAGACUCCCAAGAAGGCCUCGUGCAUGUAGUACGGGUCAGCGACACGGAUAUGAGCUAUCUGCUCAACCCCAAUGAUGUAGCUCAUGUGCAAGGCAUAAAGGUGGACAAAAGUAAAAUCCAGCUUCUUCACGUGAAACAUGUCGAAUAUGUAAUCGAAUCGGAGGAAGAACUUAUCCGCGGGGAAGCCAUUGACGUACGACAUUUGCUACGGAACGUUAACCACGUAGAGUGGGUAUCCUGGAUCUUUCGAGGCGAUGAGGCCUUUCUCUACCCGCAGCACAUCGUCAUGAAGUCUCCUUAGAUCGCCGAAUCUGGCCCGUAGCGCUGUUUCAGGUAGGAUUGGUUUACCCGGGAUAUGCCACUUAUCCGCAUCGGGGAUAUCUACACGGUCCCGAAGCCGAGGCUGCUGAGGCGGCUGGAUCAUAGAAUCAGCUUUUUUGCCUUUCCUCGCUCUCUUCCUAGGCUUCUUUACCACUGGAUGGUCGUCAAUAACACGUUGAGACGGUAAUUCAGGCACCGACUCAUGAUGCUCAAACCCUGAGGAGGCGCCAGUAUAGACAUACUGUUCAGCGCCAUCGUCAUCCUCAUCCUCAUCCAUGGUGACAUCAUCAGCCUAAUGGAGCCACCUGCUUACCCCGUCCGCUAUCACCCAACCCGACACCCGACGCUAAUUGGGUAGGUGGGGUGUUGAUGUUCAUACCUUGCUGAAGCUGCGUGCUCGUGGGUGUGCUCCCGGCCGCCUCCAGACGAAGCAGACUCUUUGGCCACAACAGGACCCACCCAUUGCAACAAUCACCAAGCCGCCGAGGGGUCUCGUCGUCAUCCCCCACUAGUAUUAGAGGAGGCAAAUUCUCGUGGCCCGGUUUGACACUGGCCACGGAAACCUUGAAGACGUUCGGGGGGAUCGACCGGCUGUGGAACAAUGGUUCCUUCGGCUCCAUUAUCGUCCCCUUCCCCACGUCCACCUUCUGUUCGCUGAUGGUGUACAAUAUGGUGCACGGGGUUUCGUCGACCUGCAAAUAAAAGUCUGCGACGUGAGACAUCCGAAAGGCAACGAAAACGGGAGAUUAUACAUUUAUAUUGAAGGGGGCCGGUGUGGAAGAUACCGUGAGGGCGUCGAGCUCAGCCAAAGAGGAGGCACCACCGAGCACGUCCGGUGCGGCAGCCGGUGCGGGAGCCGGUGCGGGAGCAGGUGCGGGAGCCGGUGCGGGAGCAGGUGCGGGAGCCGGUGCGGGAGCAUGUGCUGCCAAGAAGUCAGCAAGGGGAAAGUCCUCUGCAUUUUUUUGGAUUUUCCCUUGUCCAAGUGUGAACGCCCGUCACCAAGGAAGUAGAUAUAUCUGCAAUCGCCUGUUUUGCGGCAGCUACCGCUGUUGCGACUGUCUGAGAUGAUUUCUUCUCAACCGCAAUCUCAACCUUCUUGUCGAUGCUUUCUUCAGUUAACCUCCGUCUUUCCUUUUUCUCCUCCGUGGUCUCACGGUAGUACUUCUUCCACGUGGCGCCGUCUCCGACACCGUGCACGCGUCCAUACGACGGUCGAGUAUCCACCGGUUAUCGUUUCAAUAUGUUCAACGCCCGGUUGAAUGGAGUGUCCCACUUGGGCCUCGCCAAUGCCUCAGACGGUGAGUCGCUUUCGGCCGCAAUCCGGUGUUGCUCUCUCUGCAAAAGGCACAAGGAUCGUUUACAAAUAUGACUAACGUGUGCAGUCGAAUUGAUGAGAAACUAAAAUUACCAGCAGUCUCAUGAACUCCGUAAUGACCGGUGUUGUCUCAUAAACCUUCUUCAGUGGGUCCCAACGGUGGCGGGCCCUCAGGACGUCACGCUCCUGCGGGACGGUGAAAUCCGCCAAGGGGUCUGGGAUGCCCAGACUCGCGGCUUCCGCGUCCUCCUUGGCCCAUUUGGACCUCUUUCCGCCGUAACCACGGCUUCCGAGGUGGUGGGUCCCAAUGUUCCUCUUUUGAAGCCCCUUCAUGUACUUAGACUUUUCUUUGGCAGCUUCGGCCUCGCAAGCCUCCUUGAAUAUUUGAAACUGCUCUUCCGUGAUUGUCGGACUUUCCUUUACAAUCUCGGAGUAGGGUUCCCCGUCGUUGAUCUUUGCUUUCACUCGAUUUUUCCAGGCGGCCAACGCGUUGCUAAACUUGGUCAUGGCGUGUUUGUUUAUCUUCUUCAUUGCCGGGUCAUUGUCUGGAUCUUCAUAAUCCUUCUCAUUCCGGCCCGGGAACAAGAAUAUUUGGUGAAACUUCUUUAGGAGGGAGCUCCUCAUAUUUUCUACCUUCUUUAGAUUCUCAUCGUUGAUGGUGGCGGUUGUCCGUAUGAUGCAGCCUAUUUGAUUGCCGUAGCACGCGCGCGCUUCCUCGGGCGCCUUUGGCUCAAAAUUGCCGUUGUCCACCUCGGUGACCACCAGUCUAGUAGUCCUGAGUUUGUUAGGAACCCGUUGCCUCUUCGCUUUCGGUGCUACACCGGAUCCGCUCCCUGAGGCAGCACCGGUCUCAGCGCCGGUCUCGAUGCCGGUCUGAAUCUCAGCGCCGGUGUCAGUCUCAGCACCGGUCUGCGUAUCGGUCUCAGCACCGGUCUGCGUGUCAGUCUCAGUCCCCGAUGCCGGGCCCAGCAACAACAUCUGUUGAUCGUCGGUAAAGCUAAAAAAUUCGUCUGCCGCCCGGUAGACGUCGUCACAAUCACCAGAACCCUGUCCUUCAUCGUUGCUAGCCAUGUUUCCUAUGAUUAAAUCUAGUCAAUUAAUUCUAGACCUAAUAAAAUGAAUAAUGACAUAAAAAAGGACUAUUGUUUUGCAGGAAUGUUGACUCCUUCUUGGUGCGGCAAAUCCCGGGCACUCGAUAUGUCCUAGUUUGUAGCACAAGUCAUGCCGAAAUUCACGGGAAAUUUCGGCAUGACCUUUGCUAAAAAGUGGACAAAUCGAGAACCUGAAAUUUGCCGGAACAGAAAUGAAUCAACAUUCCGGCAAAACACAGGCCACUCAGCAUCAUUCCCUGGAAACAACAAAGCCACCACUUGGGCACAAUCGAACAACUUCAAUGAAAAGAUAUAACAUGACCACUUCAAUGAAAAAUAAAAUUUGCCUAAAUUCUUUUCCUUGAAAAAUAGUGGUCUUUUGAAAAAUCAAAAACCUUUGCCAAUCUACUUAACCUAGCUUCUUAAUCCAACGAACCUAAUUAACCUACCUAUUUAACCUAGUUAGUUAAUCUAGUUUACCUAGAUAAUUAACCCUAAUUAAACUAGUUAACGCAGCUAGUUCUCUGUCAAAGCCUAAAAUAAAUUUUUGCACUAAUUAACAUGGAUAAUUAACCUAAUUAAACUAGUUAACCUGACUAGUUCUCUGUCAAAGCCCUAACUAAGUUUUUGCACUAACCUAGAUAAUUAACCUAAUUAAACUAGUUAACCUAACUACUUCUCUGUCAAUGCCCUAACUAAAUUUUUGCCCUAACCUAGAUAAUUAACCUAAUUAAAAACUGGCUAACCUAUGCAUGAGAGAGAGAGGAGGGGUGGGGGCUUACACAUGAUGGCUCCGGUGGUGGCGACGGAGACAGUGUGGUGGCGAGGGAGGCAGGGGCGUCUCCGGUGACGGCGAGGGAGGCAGGGGCGUCUCCGGUGACGGCGAGGAAGGUGGCGUCGACGGUGGCUCCGGUGGCGUUGACGAGGCCGCGCGGCUCCAUGGCGUUGGGGGCGGCUCCGGUGUCGUCGACGGCGCACGGCUCUGGUGCGCGUCGUCGGCGGCGGCGAAGUGUGGGGCGACGAAUCGGGGAGACGGCAGCGCGCGCGCGGGGUGGGUUUGAGGGAUUUGGGGGAAGUGGUGGCCGGGGGGGGGACGGUUUUUUGGCUAAGUCAAACUUAGCGGUAGCGCGUUUCGCAAAACGCGCUAUAGCUAAGUUAGCUAUAGCGCUUUCCUCAAAACGCGCUGCUGCUAUAGCUAAUUUCCUAUUCUGUUUCUAUAGCGGGGGUCUAGGGCACGCGCUGCAGCUACGUUAGCUGUAGCGCCUCUUACAAACAAACGCUGCUGCUAUGCCUUCCUCUGAUUUUUCACUUUUUCGUUUAUUUUGCUUUACAUUUUAUUUUUCCCUUUCUCCUUUUUCUAUUUCUUCCAUUUUCAUUUAAAUUUCUAUUUGUUUAUCAUCUUAUUUUCUUUCCGUUAGUAGUAGCGCUCUUCCCUGGAAACACGCUGCUAACUGUGCUCUAGCAGUAGCGCGUUUCUGUUAAGCUCGCUACUGCUAUGCGUAGCCUAGCAUUCUGCCAAUGGGAAUAUUAGUAGUAGCGCUUUUUUUACAAUAGGCGCUACUGCUAAAUUUGUGUCUGUAGCGCAGUUUUUAAUAGCUCGCUACUGCUAUAUAGCACUAGCGCAGUUUUUUGAACCGCGCUGCUGCUAAGAUUCUGUGUAUAGCCUUUUCCCUAGUAGUGAACCGUAGGCAGCACAGGAGAAAUCACCGCCACAGAAGAUCCAGCCGGCGCAUGAUCCGAGGCGGAUCCGUGCGACAGCUCGGCUGGCUCGGGCUCCAGAUCCGAGGAAGAUUCGCGCAGCGCAGGCGCCGAAUCAGCGCGCGUUGAUUCCUCCACCGCCGUGGGCCCAUGCGACGUGGGGUCCGCCCCACAUGCACGCGCACGAUCGGUUGCGUCCGCCGAUGCACUCCCCCCGGUACGCGGGCUGUCAGCGCGUGGGGACCCGGCGGCUGACGACGCAGCAUGAUUGGCUCGGGGCGACGCCGUGGGUCCGGUGGGCUCCACCCUAUCAGCCCGGUCGGCCACCAGCCCGGAUGAGGCCAGGCGCACGGGCGGAUCCGCUUGGGAUCGCACGCCGCCAGGUGCGGCAGUCUGGGCGGGCGUAUCGGCCUCGGAUCGCCCGCUGGCAGCCGAAUCUGCCUCGGGUUCCGUGACCUGCCUGUCUUUUCCUUCACACAUAAAAUCACAGGGUAAAGUUGCACAAAUAACAUCAGCAGAAUCAGAUUUUUCAUGGGAUUUUUGCAUAUGAUCUCGUUCAUUUAAUUCCCCCUCACUAUCAUAUAAUGUUGCUGAAGGAAAUAUGCCCUAGAGGCAAUAAUAAAGUUAUUAUUUAUUUCCUUAUUUCAUGAUAAAUGUUUAUCAUUCAUGCUAGAAUUGUAUUAACCGGAAACAUGAUACAUGUGUGAAUGCAUAGACAAACAAAAUGUCACUAGUAUGCCUCUACUAGACUAGCUUGUUAAUCAAAGAUGGUUAUGUUUCCUAACCAUGAACAAAGAGUUGUUAUUUGAUUAACAAGGUCACAUCAUUAGUAGAAUGAUCUGAUUGACAUGACCCAUUCCAUUAGCUUAGCACACGAUCGUUUAGUAUGUUGCUACUGCUUUUAUCCAUGACAUAUACAUGUUCCUGUAACUAUGAGAUUAUGCAACUCCCGUUUACCGGAGGAACACUUUGGGUGCUACCAAACGUCACAACGUAACUGGGUGAUUAUAAAGGAGUACUACAGGUGUCUCCAAAGGCAGAUGUUGGGUUGGCGUAUUUCGAGAUUAGGUUUUGUCACUCCGAUUGUCGGAGAGGUAUCUCUGGGCCCUCUCGGUAAUACACAUCACUGAAGCCUUGCAAGCAUUACAACUAAUGAGUUAGCUGUGAGAUGAUGUAUUACGGAACGAGUAAAGAGACUUGCCGGUAACGAGAUUAAACUAGGUAUUGGAUACUGAGGAUCGAAUCUCGGGCAAGUAACAUACCGAUGACAAAGGGAACAACGUAUGUUGUUAUGCGGUCUGACUGAUAAAGAUCUUCGUAGAAUAUGUAGGAACCAAUAUGGGCAUCCAGGUCCCGCUAUUGGUUAUUGACCGGAGAUGUGUCUCGGUCAUGUCUACAUUGUUCUCGAACCGUAGGGUCCGCACGCUUAAGGUUUCGAUGACGGUUAUAUUAUGAGUUUGUGUAUUUUGAUGUACCGAAGAAGUUCGGAGUCUCGGAUGUGAUCACGGACAUGACGAGGAGUCUCGAAAUGGUCGAGACAUAAAGAUUGAUAUAUUGGAAGCCUAUAUUUGGAGUUCGGAAUGAUUCCGGGUGAAAUCGGGAUUUUACCGGAACACCGGGGGGUUACCGGAACCCUCCCGGAGGCUAUUGGGCCUUAGUGGGCCACGAGGGAGAAGAGGAAGGGCCGGCCAGGGCAGGCCGCGCGCCCCCUCCCCCCCUAGUCCGAAUAGGAUAAGGAGAGGGGGGCGGCGCCCCCCCUUCCCUCUUCCCCUCCCCCAAUCCUACUCCAACUAGGAAAGGGGGGAGUCCUACUCCCGGUGGGAGUAGGACUCCUCCGGCGCGCCUCCUCCAAGGGCCGGCCGCACCCCCCCUUGCUCCUUUAUAUACGGGGGCAGGGGGGCACCCUAGAACACACAAGUUUGAUCUACGGAUCGUUCCUUAGCCGUGUGCGGUGCCCCCCUCCACCAUAUUCCACCUCGGUCAUAUCGUUGCGAAGCUUAGGCGAAGCUCUGUGCCGGUAGAACAUCAAGAUCGUCACCACGCCGUCGUGCUGACGAAACUCUCCCUCCCCGAAGCUCUACUGGAUUGGAGCCCGAGGAGCGUCAUCGAGCUGUACGUGUGUCAAGAACUCGGGGGCGUCGGAGUAACGGCGCCGGGAUCGGUCGGAUCGCGAGGAGAUCGUACGACUACUUCCUCUACGUUGUGAUCGCUUCCGCUUCGGUCUACGAGGGUACGUAGACAACACUCUCCCCUCUCGUUGCUAUGCAUCACCAUGAUCUUGCGUGUGCGUAGGAAAUUUUUUGAAAUUACUACGUUCCCCAACAGUGGCAUCCGAGCCUAGGUUUUUAUGGUUUGAUGUUUUGCACGAGUAGAACACAAGUGAGUUGUGGGCGAUACAUGUCAUACUACCUACCAGCAUGUCAUACUUUGGUUCAGCUGUAUUGUGAGAUGAAGCGGCCCGGACCGACAUUACGCGUACGCUUACGCGAGACUGGUUUCACCGCUACGAUCACUCGUUGCUUAAAGGUGACUGGCGGGUGUCUGUCUCUCUCACUUUAGUUGAACCGAGUGUGGCUACGCCCGGUCCUUGAGAAGGUUAAAACGGAGUCUAUUUGACAAAGUAUCGUUGUGGUUUUGAUGCAUAGGUGAGAUUGGUUCUUGCUUAAGCCCGUAGCAGCCACGUAAAAUUUGCAACAACAAAGUAGAGGACGUCUAACUUGUUUUUGCAGGGCAUGUUGUGAUGUGAUAUGGUCAAGACGUGAUGCUAUAUUUUAUUGUAUGAGAUGAUCAUGUUUUGUAACCGAAGUCAUCGGCAACUGGCUGGAGCCAUAUGGUUGUCGCUUUAUUGUAUGCAAUGCAAUCGCCCUGUAAUGCUUUAAUUUAUCACUAAGCGGUAGCGAUAGUCGUAGAAGCAUAAGAUUGGCGAGACGACAACGAUGCUACGAUGGAGAUCAAGGUGUCGCGCCGGUGACGAUGGUGAUCAUGGUGGUGCUGCAGAGAUGGAGAUCACGAAGCACAAGAUGAUGAUGACCAUAUCAUAUCACUUAUAUUGAUUUGCAUGUGAUGUUUAUCUUUUAUGCAUCUUAUCUUGCUCUGAUUGACGGUAGCAUUAUAAGAUGAUCUCUCACUAAAUUAUCAAGAAGUGUUCUCCCUGAGUAUGCACCGUUGCCAAAGUUCGUCGUGCCCAGACACCACGUGAUGAUCGGGUGUGAUAAGCUCUACGUCCAUCUACAACGGGUGCAAGCCAGUUUUGCACACGCAGAAUACUCAGGUUAUACUUGACGAGCCUAGCAUAUGCAGAUAUGGCCUCGGAACACGGAGACCGAAAGGUCGAGCGUGAAUCAUAUAGUAGAUAUGAUCAACAUAAGAUGUUCACCAUUGAAAACUACUCCAUUUCACGUGAUGAUCGGUUAUGGUUUAGUUGAUUUGGAUCACGUGAUCACUUAGAUGACUAAGAGAGAUGUCUGUCUAAGUGGGAGUUCUUUAGUAAUAUGAUUAACUGAACUUAAAUUUAUCAUGAACUUAGUACCUGAUAGUAUCUUGCUUGUUUAUGUUUGAUUGUAGAUAGAUGGCUCGUGCUGUUGUUCCGUUGAAUUUUAAUGCGUUCCUUGAGAAAGCAAAGUUGAAAGAUGAUGGUAGCAAUUACACGGACUGGGUCCGUAACUUGAGGAUUAUCCUCAUUGCUGCACAGAAGAGUUACGUCCUGGAUGCACCGCUAGGUGCCAGGCCUGCUGCAGGAGCAACACCAGAUGUUGUGAACGUCUGGCAGAGCAAAGCUGAUGACUACUCUAUAGUUCAGUGUGCCAUGCUUUACGGCUUAGAACCGGGACUUCAACGACGUUUUGAACGUCAUGGAGCAUAUGAGAUGUUCCAGGAGUUGAAGUUGAUAUUCCAACAGAAUGCCCGGAUUGAGAGAUAUGAAGUCUCCAAUAAGUUCUAUAGCUGCAAGAUGGAGGAGAAUAGUUCUGUUAGUGAGCACAUACUCAGAAUGUCUGGGUACUACAAUCACUUGACACAAUUGGGAGUUAAUCUUCCGGAUGAUUGUGUCAUUGACAGAAUUCUUCAAUCACUGCCACCAAGCUACAAAGGCUUCGUGAUGAACUAUAAUAUGCAAGGGUUAGUAAAGACUAUACCUGAGCUCUUCGCAAUGCUAAAGGUUGCGGAGGUAGAAAUCAAGAAGGAGCAUCAAGUGUUGAUGAUCAAUAAGACCACCAGUUUCAAGAAGAAAGGCAAAGGGAAGAAGAAGGGGAACUUCAAGAAGAACAGCAAGCAAGUUGCUGCUCAGGAGAAGAAACCCAAGUCUGGACCCAAACCUAAAACUGAGUGUUUCUACUGCAAGCAGACUGGUCACUGGAAGCGGAACUGCCCCAAGUAUUUGGCGGAUAAGAAGGAUGGCAAGGUGAACAAAGGUAUAUGUGAUAUACAUGUCAUUGAUGUGUACCUUACUAGAGCUCGCAGUAGCACCUGGGUAUUUGAUACUGGUUCUGUUGCUAAUAUUUGCAACUCGAAACAGGGACUACGGAUUAAGCGAACACUGGCAAAGGACGAGGUGACGAUGCGCGUGGGAAAUGGUUCCAAAGUCGAUGUGAUCGCGGUCGGCACGCUACCUCUACAUCUACCUUCGGGAUUAGUUUUAGACCUAAAUAAUUGUUAUUUGGUGCCUGCGUUGAGCAUGAACAUUAUAUCUGGAUCUUGUUUGAUGCGAGACGGUUAUUCAUUUAAAUCAGAGAAUAAUGGUUGUUCUAUUUAUAUGAGUAAUAUCUUUUAUGGUCAUGCACCCUUGAAGAGUGGUCUAUUUUUGAUGGAUCUCGAUAGUAGUGAUACACAUAUUCAUAAUGUUGAAACCAAAAGAUGCAGAGUUGAUAAUGAUAGUGCAACUUAUUUGUGGCACUGCCGUUUAGGUCAUAUCGGUGUAAAGCGCAUGAAGAAACUCCAUACUGAUGGACUUUUGGAGUCACUUGAUUAUGAAUCACUUGGCACUUGCGAACCGUGCCUCAUGGGCAAGAUGACUAGAACCCCGUUCUCCGGUACUAUGGAGAGAGCAACAGAUUUGUUGGAAAUCAUACAUACAGAUGUAUGUGGUCCGAUGAAUGUUGAGGCUCGUGGCGGAUAUCGUUAUUUUCUCACCUUCACAGAUGAUUUAAGCAGAUAUGGGUAUAUCUACUUAAUGAAACAUAAGUCUGAAACAUUUGAAAAGUUCAAAGAAUUUCAGAGUGAAGUUGAAAAUCAUCGUAAUAAGAAAAUUAAAUUUCUACGAUCUGAUCGUGGAGGUGAAUAUUUGAGUUACGAGUUUGGUCUACAUUUAAAACAAUGCGGAAUAGUUUCGCAACUCACGCCACCCGGAACACCACAGCGUAAUGGUGUGUCCGAACGUCGUAAUCGUACUUUACUAGAUAUGGUGUGAUCUAUGAUGUCUCUUACAGAUUUACCGCUAUCGUUUUGGGGUUAUGCUCUAGAGACGGCCGCAUUCACACUGAAUAGAACACCGUCAAAAUCCGUUGAGACGACACCUUAUGAACUAUGGUUUAGCAAGAAACCAAAGUUGACGUUUCUUAAAGUUUGGGGAUGUGAUGCUUAUGUGAAAAAGCUUCAACCUGAUAAGCUCGAACCCAAAUCGGAGAAAUGUGUCUUCAUAGGAUACCCAAAGGAGACAGUUGGGUACACCUUCUAUCACAGAUCCGAAGGCAAGACAUUUGUUGCCAAGAAUGGAUCCUUUCUAGAGAAGGAGUUUCUCUCGAAAGAAGUGAGUGGGAGGAAAGUAGAACUUGAUGAGGUAAUUGUACCUUCUCCCUUACUUGAAAGUAGUUUGUCGCAGAAACCGGUUUCUAAGACAUCUACACCAAAUAGUGAGGAAGUUGAUGAUGUUGAUCAUGAAACUUCAGAUCAAGUUACUACAGAACCUCGUAGAUCAACCAGAGUAAGAUCCGCACCAGAGUGGUACGGUAAUCCUGUUCUGGAAAUCAUGCUACUAGAUCAUGAUGAACCUACGAACUAUGAAGAAGCGAUGGUGAGCCCAGAUUCCGCAAAAUGGCUUGAGGCCAUGAAAUCUGAGAUGGGAUCCAUGUAUGAAAACAAAGUAUGGACUUUGGUUGACUUGCCCGAGGGUCGGCAAGCAAUAGAAAACAAGUGGAUCUUCAAGAAGAAGACUGACGCUGACGGUAAUGUUACUGUCUACAAAGCUCGACUUGUCGCAAAGGGUUUUCGACAAGUUCAAGGGAUUGACUACGAUGAGACCUUCUCACCCGUAGCGAUGCUUAAGUCUGUCCGAAUCAUGUUAGCAAUUGCCGCAUUUUAUGAUUAUGAAAUUUGGCAAAUGGAUGUAAAGACUGCAUUCCUGAAUGGAUUUCUGGAAGAAGAGUUGUAUAUGAUGCAACCAGAAGGUUUUAUCAAUCCAAAGGGAGCUAACAAAGUGUGCAAGCUCCAGCGAUCCAUUUAUGGACUGGUGCAAGCAUCUCGGAGUUGGAAUAAACGCUUUGAUAGUGUGAUCAAAGCAUUUGGGUUCAUACAGACUUUUGGAGAAGCCUGUAUUUACAAGAAAGUGAGUGGGAGCUCUGUAGCAUUUCUGAUAUUAUAUGUAGAUGACAUAUUAUUGAUCGGAAAUGAUAUAGAAUUUCUGGAUAGCAUAAAGGGAUACUUGAAUAAGAGUUUUUCAAUGAAAGACCUCGGUGAAGCUGCUUACAUAUUGGGCAUUAAGAUCUAUAGAGAUAGAUCAAGACGCUUAAUUGGACUUUCACAAAGCACAUACCUUGACAAAAUUUUGAAGAAGUUCAAAAUGGAUCAAGCAAAGAAAGGGUUCUUGCCUGUGUUACAAGGUGUGAAGUUGAGUAAGACUCAAUGUCCGACCACUGCAGAAGAUAGAGAGAAAAUGAAAGAUGUUCCCUAUGCUUCAGCCAUAGGCUCUAUCAUGUAUGCAAUGCUGUGUACCAGACCUGAUGUGUGCCUUGCUAUAAGCUUAGCAGGGAGGUACCAAAGUAAUCCAGGAGUGGAUCACUGGACAGCGGUCAAGAACAUCCUGAAAUACCUGAAAAGGACUAAGGAUAUGUUUCUCGUAAUGGAGGUGACAAAGAGCUCAACGUAAACGGUUACGUUGAUGCAAGCUUUGACACAGAUCCGGACGAUUCUAAAUCGCAGACCGGAUACGUAUUUACACUAAACGGAGGAGCUGUCAGUUGGUGCAGUUCUAAACAAAGCGUCGUAGCGGGAUCUACAUGUGAAGCGGAGUACAUAGCAGCUUCGGAAGCAGCUAAUGAAGGAGUCUGGAUGAAGGAGUUCAUAUCCGAUCUAGGUGUCAUACCUAGUGCAUCGGGUCCAAUGAAAAUCUUCUGUGACAAUACUGGAGCAAUUGCCUUAGCAAAGGAAUCCAGAUUUCACAAGAGGACCAAGCACAUCAAAAGACGCUUCAAUUCCAUCCGGGAUUUAGUCCAGGUGGGAGACAUAGAGAUUUGCAAGAUACACACGGAUCUGAAUGUAGCAGACCCGUUGACUAAGCCUCUUCCACGAGCAAAACAUGAUCAACACCAAGACUCCAUGGGUGUUAGAAUCAUUACUAUGUAAUCUAGAUUAUUGACUCUAGUGCAAGUGGGAGACUGAAGGAAAUAUGCCCUAGAGGCAAUAAUAAAGUUAUUAUUUAUUUCCUUAUUUCAUGAUAAAUGUUUAUCAUUCAUGCUAGAAUUGUAUUAACCGGAAACAUGAUACAUGUGUGAAUGCAUAGACAAACAAAAUGUCACUAGUAUGCCUCUACUAGACUAGCUUGUUAAUCAAAGAUGGUUAUGUUUCCUAACCAUGAACAAAGAGUUGUUAUUUGAUUAACAAGGUCACAUCAUUAGUAGAAUGAUCUGAUUGACAUGACCCAUUCCAUUAGCUUAGCACACGAUCGUUUAGUAUGUUGCUACUGCUUUUAUCCAUGACAUAUACAUGUUCCUGUAACUAUGAGAUUAUGCAACUCCCGUUUACCGGAGGAACACUUUGGGUGCUACCAAACGUCACAACGUAACUGGGUGAUUAUAAAGGAGUACUACAGGUGUCUCCAAAGCCAGAUGUUGGGUUGGCGUAUUUCGAGAUUAGGUUUUGUCACUCCGAUUGUCAGAGAGGUAUCUCUGGGCCCUCUCGGUAAUACACAUCACUGAAGCCUUGCAAGCAUUACAACUAAUGAGUUAGCUGUGAGAUGAUGUAUUACGGAACGAGUAAAGAGACUUGCCGGUAACGAGAUUAAACUAGGUAUUGGAUACUGACGAUCGAAUCUCGGGCAAGUAACAUACCAAUGACAAAGGGAACAACGUAUGUUGUUAUGCGGUCUGACCGAUAAAGAUCUUCGUAGAAUAUGUAGGAACCAAUAUGGGCAUCCAGGUCCCGCUAUUGGUUAUUGACCGGAGACGUGUCUCGGUCAUGUCUACAUUGUUCUCGAACCGUAGGGUCCGCACGCUUAAGGUUUCGAUGACGGUUAUAUUAUGAGUUUGUGUAUUUUGAUGUACUGAAGAAGUUCGGAGUCUCGGAUGUGAUCACGGACAUGACGAGGAGUCUCGAAAUGGUCGAGACAUAAAGAUUGAUAUAUUGGAAGCCUAUAUUUGGAGUUCGGAAUGAUUACGGGUGAAAUCGGGAUUUUACCGGAACACCGGGGGGUUACCGGAACCCUCCCGGAGGCUAUUGGGCCUUAGUGGGCCACGAGGGAGAAGAGGAAGGGCCGGGCAGGGCAGGCCGCGCGCCCCCUCCCCCCUAGUCCGAAUAGGACAAGGAGAGGGGGGCGGCGCCCCCCCUUCCCUCUUCCCCUCCCCCAAUCCUACUCCAACUAGGAAAGGGGGGGGAGUCCUACUCCCGGUGGGAGUAGGACUCCUCCGGCGCGCCUCCUCCAAGGGCCGGCCGCACCCCCCCUUGCUCCUUUAUAUACGGGGGCAGGGGGGCACCCUAGAACACACAAGUUUGAUCUACAGAUCGUUCCUUAGCCGUGUGCGGUGCCCCCCUCCACCAUAUUCCACCUCGGUCAUAUCGUUGCGAAGUUUAGGCGAAGCUCUGCGCCGGUAGAACAUCAAGAUCGUCACCACACCGUCGUGCUGACGAAACUCUCCCUCCCCGAAGCUCUACUGGAUUGGAGCCCGAGGAGUGUCAUCGAGCUGUACGUGUGUCAAGAACUCGGGGGCGUCGGAGUAACGGCGCCGGGAUCGGUCGGAUCGCGAGGAGAUCGUACGACUACUUCCUCUACGUUGUGAUCGCUUCCGCUUCGGUCUACGAGGGUACGUAGACAACACUCUCCCCUCUCGUUGCUAUGCAUCACCAUGAUCUUGCGUGUGCGUAGGAAAUUUUUUGAAAUUACUACGUUCCCCAACAGUUGCGGGAUCAGAGAGAAGGGCAAUCUCUGCACGAAGCAAGGCGCCGGCAUUAGGAUGCAAUUUGGAAAACGGAAAGAGUGUCUCAUCAAAAACAACAUCACGUGAAAUAUAGAUGCGUCUGGUAGAGAUUUCAAGGCACUUAUAACCUUUAUGAAGAUUACUAUAGCCAAGAAAGACACACUGUGUGGAUCUAAACUCAAGUUUAUGACGGUUGUAGGGACGCAAAUUUGGGUAGCAAGCACACCCAAAUAUCUUGAGAUAGUUGUAAUCAGGUUUUUGAUGAUAGAGACGCUCUAAAGGAGUAGUGUUUCCAAUAACUUUGCUAGGGAGCCUAUUGAUAAGAUAGGUGGCAGUAAUGAAAGCUUCGUCCCAAUACUUGAGAGGCAUAGAAGCAUGGGCUAACAGAGAAAGACCAACUUCAACGAUGUGGCGGUGUUUACGCUCAGCAGAGCCAUUCUGUUGAUGAGCAUGGGGGCAAGAUACAUGAUGGACAAUCCCAAUACUGCGGAAAAAAGAGUGAAGUUUCUCAUACUCCCCUCCCCAGUCACUUUGGACGGCGAGGAUUUUUCUGUCAAAUUGGCGCUCAACAAGUUUCUGAAACUCUUGGAAAAUAGAGAAGACUUCAGAUUUAUAUCGAAGUAAAUAAAUCCAAGUGAACUUGCUAUAAUCAUCGAUAAAACUGACAUAAUAUUUUUUCUGACCAAAAGAAUCUCAGGCAUGGCCCCAUACAUCACUGAAAAUAAGUUCUAAUGGAGCAUGAGACACACUAGUUGACUUGGGAUAAGGAAGCUGAUGGCUCUUGGCACAUUGACAGGCUUCACAGACAGACUCACAAACUGAACUAGGAGACAAAGAAAGUUUGUCUUUAUUGACUAUUUGUUUGAAAUUGAUCGAAGAUGGAUGCCCUAAUCGUUGAUGCCACCGUGCCAAAGAGGGCUUGAUGACGGAGUAGACGUGACGACGCUUGCGACCUAGUGCUCCGGAUGGAAUAGGGUAGAGCCCUCCAACGCAUCUACCGUGAUGAAGUAGUUCCCUCGUUGCCCGAUCCUUGAUGAAAAAAUAACGAGGGUGAGUUUCAAAGAAGACAUUGUUGUCGGUGGCUAGUCUAGACAUUGAUGCAAGGUUUUUGUCAGCUUGAGGAACAUGAAGCACAUCUCUAAGAACAAGAUCGCGUUUAAGUGUAGGGGAAUUAAUAGAACUUUGACCAAUAUGACAAAUAUACAUACCUCCACCACUAGCAGUGUGAAUCUGAUCGGCGCCAUGAUAGCGCUCGCGUAGAGCAAGUUGCUCGAGUUCGUUCGUCACAUGAUCCGUAGCACCGGAGUCGACGUACCAGACGCCAUCUCCAGCCUGCUCACGCAUGGCGGCAGCAACGUGGCGAUCUGAGGGCACGAAGUCCUCCUCGUAACUAUGCCAGCAAUCAAUCACCUCGUGGCCAGACUUUUUGCAAAGCUGGCAUCGAGGUCGCGGGCGGGAAGGAGCGCGGCGGCCGUUGUUGUUGUUGAAGCCGCCGCUGUUGCCGCUGUUGUUGUAGCCGUCCCCGCCACCAGAGCGUGCGCCAUCGCCAGGGAAGGAGGCGCCGCGUCCGCGCCCACCGCCGCGCUGCCCCUGGUGACCGCGCCCACGGCCGCGACCACGAGAGGCGGAGUUGACAGAGGAUUGCCGAAGGUCGCCGCCAUGGAGCAGAGUUAGCCGGGCAUCAAAACAGAGCAGUUGGAUGUAUAGUUCUUGGACGGUGAUGGGUUCCACCCGGGCAGCAAGUGCAGAGACCACCGGGUUGUAUUCCAUGUCCAAGCCGGCAAGGAUUUUGGAGACAAUCUCCGGAUCAGAGAGGGUCGCAGCCGUGCUUGCGACCUCAUCAGUGAGACUUUUUAUUUUACCAAGAUAAUCAGCCAUGGAUAGGUUACCUUUCUUGAGGUUGGUGAGCUCGAUGCGAGUGUUUAUCGCUUGGGCUUGGCUUUGUGCAGCAAACAUGGCAUGGAUGGUGCGCCACACCUCAGCCGGCAUCUGGAGCGUGGCGACCUGGGCAAGGAUCUCACGGGAAAGUGAACCCAUUAGGUAUCCUUGGAGUUGCUGCUGCUGUGCAUACCAGAGGGAUCUUGCAAAGUUGACGACUUGUUCUUCUUUGCCUUCCGUGGUGAUGGUGAGGGUGGCGGGUGGUGGUGGGCUCGUCGCGUCGAGGUGGUGCUCCAUCUGGGCGCCUCUGAUCUGCGGGAGCACUAUGGCCUUCCAGAGCAAAAAAUUGCCCCGCGUCAGCUUCUCCUGUGGGGGCGAUCCGAGAGAGGUGGUGUUGUGGGUGGAGGAGGAAGAUGAUGCAAAAGUAGAGGAUGAGGUGGUGGUGAGUGCACCCAUGGUACUUGGGGUCAUGGCUGCGAUGGUGGUGGACAUACUCUCGGUCGCGAUGGUAGCUAGAUGCAAUCUCUCUCGAUUGGAUGAGGAAGAGGCUCUGUUACCAUGUAAAAGUGGUUUGGGAAGCGUAGAACCCUUUGUCUCGGGCCGCAUGUAUAUAUUAGGCAGAAGCCUUGGCACACAAGUUUACAGGGGGAGAGAUCGAUCAGAUGGGAUCUAUCAAGUCGUUACAGAAGGAUCGUGAAAGACAGAAGAAGAGAUAGAACAGAAUACAGAAUUUAAACCAACUCUAUCUCUAUACAACUUCUACUACACGUCUACUAUACGCAUAUUCCAACAGUUAACACCAUGUGGCGCCGCUUCAGCUCGCCGCCCGAGGGUCAAGGUCCGGCUACUUAAGCCGUACAACGUCCCCCAGCCCUAGCCACAUCCGCUUCCUCCCUUCCGUGUUGGCAGCCCGAGCCCAUCUGCUUCUUUCCCCUCUUCCCUUGCCAUCCGCCAUGGCCGGGCAGAAGAAGACCACCUACACUAUGCUAACGUCGGAGCAGCGCUUCCAGAUGCUUGAGGAGAUCUAGGCUAGGCGGACCGUUCGGAUCACAGCGGACCUGCCUCUAAAUUCGCUGGAGCAGCAAUCGGAGCCCAUGGAGUAGGAGGAGGAGGAGCCGGAGCCGGUUGCGGACUUUGCCAUGGAGGACACCCUGGCGGAGUUCGAGGUCGCCCAAGUGGUGGAGAUGGCGUAGCAGACCGCUACGCCAUCCAGGAUGAGGCAUAUGUCGAAGCCAACUGGUGGUUCAUCCGGCAAGAAUGGGCGGCGACCGUCUUCUGCCAAACUGGACACGGAGGAGGAGGCAAAGGCCGACACGGAGGUGCCGCAUGUGCCAGAGUUGCAGCUGCUGCCCAUGUACCCGGAGCCGAGCACGAAGAUCGUGGGCAUCUUUGACAAGGAGUAGGGCAGUGUAGGUUCUGGUUGAUUUACGUAGUAGUAUAUGGGUUUUUUCUCUUUUGCAUGCUUUAUAUGGAUUUAAGGUUUCAAGUAUGAGUAAUUCGGAUGCAUAGAACGAAACUUGAGGGUUGCCCGGUCAAUGCACGCAAACGCGCCUGGGCGCGUCCGCGGGCGUUUGAGGGCCUGAAUUUGGUGUCCACGGCUGUAGAUGCUCUAAGCGGCAUGCCGAUUAGUCAAAACCUAUGUAUAUGUGUGGACAAAAGUAAAUUGAUGCAUUCAAACAUACGGGACCCGGAAAUUUUCUCUCAGGAUACCUUGGUGCCAAUUAUAGCAUACCAAAUCCUUCUCCAUAUCCAUGUCAAUUAACUACCAAAUAAAUUUCUACCGAUCCUCUUAAAAAUAAGUUCAAGUCUGCCAUUAUAAUAGAAGUACGACUAAUGUAUUUUCUUGUGAUAUAUUAAUUUCAAUUUUCAAUUCUAUAGUUUUUGGUAUGUUAAUUUGUUUCUUUAGAACCUUCAUUUGCAUAUUUUCCAAAGCAAAAGGUACAAUAAAAAAUGUGUAGGGGAGCAGAAAAAAGAGGGAAAACAAACUGAAAACAAAAGUGAAAAUAGAUAAAUAAACAACAAAAUGUCAUAAUUCUACCUAAACAGACUAAUAUAGCACAAGAAAAUGCAUUCCAUGUAAUAUGAACCUCCCCAAGCCCAUACAUUUUGCCAAAUUUUCGUCUAAUUUGUUGUUUUAGACACUUCAUUUGCGUAUUUUCCAAAAAUAAAAGUGCAACAACAAGGUGUAGGAAAACAGGAAAAAAGAGAGGGGAAAACAAAAGUGAAAAUAGAUAAAUAAACAACAAAAUGUCAUAAUUCUACCUAAACACACUAAUAUAGCGCAAGAAAGUACAUUCCGUGUAAUAUGAACCUCCCUGAGAGCAUAUGUUUAUCCACGAUCAGUUUGAGCAUACUGAAGAUGAUGCUCUGGCAUUUGCGAAGGCCACUGGGUUAGUUACUAGAAUAGUAAAAAUAGAGACCAAAAGGGUUGAGCACACCAAGUAUAGUGAUCCAUGAUAUGCAUCAAAGCAUGUAACAACUAGUUAAGCAGGAUGCCGAUUAGUCAAAACCUAUGUGUAUAUGUGGAGAAAAAUUAAAUGGAUGCAUUCAAACAUAUGGGACCCGAAAAUGUUCUCUGGGGUACCUUGGUGCCAAUUAUAGCAUAUACCAAAUCCUUCUCCAUAUCCAUGUCAAUUAAGUACCCAAUAAAUUCGUAACGAUCCUCGUAAAACUGAAAAGGGGAAACAAUAAGUUCCAGUCCGCCAUUAGGCAUCUGAUGAGAACCUACGUGACGACAUAAGUUGAAAACUCGAAACGUUAAAUCUACUCCAAUUAUGGGAAGCAUUGAGUGUGCAUGGACGCGUCCAGGGAAGAGUGAGAGAGAGGAUUGAGAUGUGCUCGCCAAGAUUACUACGAAUUAAGUCCGUGAUCUCGACCACAUUAAACCCAGCCAGCCUGUGAUCUCAAUAUCUCAUGCGAUCUUCAAAUUUGGCAAGUGAACUUGCAUUCCUCUCAGAUCAUCUCCGGCCUUGUAUAAGUAGGCUCGCACAGAUCCCAUCCAAGAAGAACUCAACUCGUGUGCCAAGAAAAACCAAAUCCAAACCGCGUCCAUGGACGUGGUGCAAGUCGCCAAUGAGGAGGUGCAGCCGGCGCCGACCCUGGAGCUAAACCUCCUCGGCGCUGUCGGUGCUGAGGCGAACGCCGUGGCGGAGGCGGAGAAGGGAAAGGCCAAGUCGAGUGAGGCCACUGAGGCGGCCGGGCCUUCGUCGGUGGUGGCAGUCGCCGGCGGCGAGAAACGCCGCGUGUUCAAGUGCAACUACUGCCCGCGCAAGUUCUACACGUCGCAGGCGCUGGGCGGCCACCAGAACGCUCACAAGCGCGAGCGCUCCGUCGCCAAGGGCGUCGCUGCGGGGCGGGGCGCCGGCCCUGGCGGCCCACUCGUGCCGCACCACCUUCGCUUCCCCAACGCCUGGCCCUAUUCCGCCACCGGCAGGUCGUUCCUCGGCGUCGCGGCGCCGUUCUACGGGAUGCACAUGCACCCCAACCUCCCCGGGUGGGGCCCGGCGGCCCAGCCGUCCCUCGCCGGGCUCACCCGUCACGCCGGCACCGGCCGCCCGAUGUACCCGCGGGCGGAGGCCUACAGCUAUGGCGCGUCGCCCAGGGCCCUCAUCCCGGCGGCCUCCCCUCGCACGACGUCGAUGACCGCGAUCCAGUGGGGUGGUGGCAGUGGCAGUGGCAGUGGCAACGGCGGCGAUCAUAGUGAAGCGAAGCAAGAAGAGGAGGAGAUCGCCAACACGGUAGACUUGACUCUCAGGCUCUAACUAAGCUCCGUAGGGUCUGAUCAUUACUCCGUUAGAGCCUUAUAAGCUUCGGUCUUGUUGUUGACAAUAGUAGUCAAAUGCUAUCAGUCAUUUAAUUAGUUGUUGAUAGGAGAAGUUCAUUCAGUUCUUGGUCGCUUGGCUCUUAUGGAACGAGCCCAACAACAGAAGUUUUGAAGUUAAGUUCUCGUCGGGUGACCGCUUGUUAGACCUCAUCAAAUCGGCGGCGCAUGAUUGGUUUAUAAGGCUGGGGCUUUAUGUCUUGAAAAUCUGUUUGUUUAGGCCUCUAUCAUCUCGCUCUCAUGUUUGGUUUGUAUGGUGGUUUGAAUUUUGUUGUAUCUCUAAGACAUCUGCACUCUUUUCUUCUUCUAUAUAAUGAUCACAUGCAAUUCUCUCUUGCAGGGUUCAAAAAAAAAGGAAGUUAAUUAAUUAAGUUAUUUCUUGUAUUUGUUAGUGCAUGGUCAACUAGCUGCUCAGGGUUCUAGCAAGUAAAUAUUUACACUUCUGCUUCAGUACACCCGCUAAACACAUCAACAAAUGAGAUCUUUCGUUACUCCUUCAUCAUAAUAAAGGGUAGGAUGAUUUAUUUUUUAAAACUUCAUCGCGCGCGCCGAGCAUGAUACGCUGCCUGCAUACAUAUCACACCGGGCCGGCCCAUUUCCCACUUUUUUCCUCUUCUGUAAAACCUAAUAAAGAAAGUGCUGACAAGAUUCCAACCGAGCACCUAUACGCUUAACUAACCAAUAAAUACUACAUCCUUCGGGAGUAUACUAACAUGCGUACGACGGCCUAGUUGGGCCAAGGCCUAAGAGGUCACCUAUACUCAUAUAAGCUCAUGUAAAAAAAGGAGUCAUUUGAUGCUGAAAAAAUAUGCUCUCAAAUGGAUCCUUCUAACCUAUCCGGAUACUCUGCAUUGAACAUGGUCUAUUUUGGACAUGCCUGAAAUGAUCCUAUUUUUUUUCAGUAGGUGAGCAUGCCUAUGAUAGGCAUGCAUCCAUGUCAUAUUUUAACUAAUUCCGACACCGCAUGCAAGUUCGGUCAUGCCCCAUCAUUUAUCGGUCAUUUUUCAUCGAGAAAACUCCAAUAAAUGCAAGAAUUGUCAAAAACUCAAAAUACUUCGUAUGGUGCUUCAUUGAAAAAAAAAAUUGUCCAAUUGAAGGAUGUGGAGGCACAACAUGCUCUUAGAUGGAGGCUUCUGGCCAACCCGAACACCCUCCAUUUAACAUGGUCUAGUUUUUACAUUCUUAAAAUGAUCCUAACUUUUUCAAGCAGGUGGGCAUGCCCAUGGUAGUCAUGCCUGGUUUGAAAAAUUUCUGAUACCGUAUGCAAGUUGCAACACGUCCAUCCAUUUAUUGGCCCUUUUUGACCGAGAAAACUUCAGGAAAUGCAAAAUUUAUCAAAAACAAAAAUAACUUGGCAUGGUGCCUUGAAUUGGUCAGACAAGGCGAUGAAAAAAAUGAUGUCAGGAAACAACACGCUAUUAGACGGAACCUUCUGGACUAUCCGGACACCAUCCAUUGAACAUGAUCUUUGUUUGAACAUCCUUCAAAUGAUCCCAACUUUUGCAAGCUGGUCAACAUACCCAUGGCAGGCAUUCAUGUCAGAUUUAAAUGACUUUCGGUACAAUAUGCAAGUUGCGACACAUCUGGCAAUUUAUCUACCUUUUUUACCGAGAAAACUCUAGAAAAUUAAAAUUUUGUCAAAAAACCAAAAUAACUUGGAAUUGUGCCCUGGAUUGGUCAUACAAGGCAAUAAAAAAAUGAGGGUCAAUUCAAGGAUGUCGAGAAACAACACCCUCCUUUAAAUAUGGCCUAGUCUUGGACAUUCUUGAAAUGACCCCAACUUUUGCAAGCAGGUGGGCAUGCCCAUGGUAGGCAACCAUGCCAGGUUUGAACGAUUUUUGACACUGUAUGAAAGUUGCGACACGUUCGGCUAUUCAACGGCUUUUUUAGUGAGAAAACUUCAGAAAAUGCAGAAUUUGUCGAAAACCAAAAUAACUUAACAUGUUGCUUUGAAUUGGUCAUAAUAGACCAUGGAAAAAAUUAGGCCCAUUUCAAAGAUGUCAAAAAACAACGUGCUCUCAGACGGGCCCUUCUGUCCUUACCCAAAUACCUUCCAUUGAACAUGGUGUUUUUGUGGACACCCAUGAAAUGAGCCCAACUUAUACAAGCAUGUGGGCAUGACCACAUUAAAAAUCCAUGCGGGUUUGAAGGAUUUUCGACACCAUAUUUGAGUUGCGACACAUCUACCUAUCUCCCGUUUUACCGAGAAAACUACAGAAGAUGCAAAAUUGUAGAAAACCAAGAUAACUUAGCAUGAUGCCUUGAAUUGCUCCUACAAGUAAAUAAAAAAUUGGGGUCAUAUGAUGGACUUUGAGCCUUCUGGCCUACCCGGACACCCUACAUUUAACAUGGUGUUUUUUUGAACAAUCUUGAAAUGAUUCCAACUUUUGCUAGCCGGUGGGCAUGUCCAUGGUAGUCGUCCAUGCCAGGUUUGAAGGAAAAAAAGUAUUUGAAAUCAUAGUUUGAUCAGAUACUUAAAACUCUUAUUUUGAUUUUUAACAUAACUAAUAAAUACAAAGGGAUAAAUUUGAAAAUAGUAAAUACUUUCUUUUAAAAUAAAUUCAUAAACAUUUUACAGAAGAAAUAAUUUAAAAUUAUUAUUUAAAAUAGUUAAUUAUAACUUAUAUUUUGGUAUUCAAAAAGGUGAAAAUGAAUUAACACAUUAGAGAGAGAAAAAUAGAAAAGUAGAAAAUAAAAUAAAACGCUUAUGCCUUAACCCAACUAGGAGACGACAUCCCUCCUGUCGGGCACACGUUGGGCCAGCCCAAGGGCUCCCGGAUUUGAAAAAGUUCAUCAGUUGUUUUUAAUAUAUACAUGGAUUUGAAUUUUUUUUGCAAAUUUUCAAAAAGACAUUACUAAAAUAGUUGCAAAGAAACGUUCCCGGUUUUGGGAACCUCAGCUUUCUUGCCGCUUUUUCCAGUUUUGAGAACCUACUAGGAUGUCGUGAACCGCAUUUUAUUCUCUUCUUUUUAUCAACUCUCUAGUUUACUUUUUUCUCUUUCUUUUUUCCUUUUUGUUAUAUUUGACUUUUCAUUUUUUUUUUCUGUUUAUAUUUCUCAUAAAUUAGAAAAUUUCAAAUUUCAAAAUUUGUUCAGAAUAUCCAAAUAUUUCAUGUUCUUCAAAUUUUGCUCAAUUAUUUAUUUAUUUAUUUGCAUUGUUUCAGAAAAAAAGAAUGUUUAAAGUGUCCUAUUUUUCAUAUUCAUUAAUAAAUGUUAAAAAUCCGGAAAAUGUUCAGAAUUUUCAAAUCUUGUUUUGGUUUCAAUUUUUGUUCAUAUUUUCUAAUCAAUGUACAAAAAUAAAAAAUGUUCACAUUUCAAAAACAAAUCAUAAAUUUGGUAAAAUGUUCACGUUGUCAGAUUUUGUUCUGAUUUUUGGAAGGUAUUCCCAUUUAAAAAAAAUUGUUCACGGAUUUAAAACUGUUUGCUUUUCCAAAUUUUGGUCAUAUUUUUAAAAUGUGCCAGCGUUCUGGAUACGGGGGUACCCAGACUUGCCUGCCUGCGGCCCACGACGUGGCUCCAUUGACGCCCUGGUACGGCCCAGCUUUAGCAUCAACAACUCAAGACCCUCGCGAGGGGUCAAGCCUCGCGAGGCGGACGACGCCAAGACCUUCAAGGGGAUCGGCCUCCCCAGGCUGGCUCCCGAGGAGCGGAGAUUUCUAUGCAAGGUGCACCUCGCGAGGUUCGGUUGACGUGAGCCAUGACGACCAAGGACAGGCGGGCGCCAGUGGGCGCAGAGUACCAGUUUCCUCUUCGGUGCAAGGGAGGCAAGCAACAGGAAUGGAGUCCCGAGAAAUCAACCAAAGAUUUCCAUUCUAAUGCAACAAGACCAAGACCGCCAACACGGCAGGACAGAGGUCACCACCGAGCCCACCGCAGCGUCACAACCAGAGGCUUUUGUAGGCGAAGACCGCUUUAGUCAGGAUAAGAUGUACCUGUUGUCUCCCUUCAAAUUUGGCUGUCGUGGGAUCCCUUCCCACCUACAUAUGGGAAGAGGACGAAGGCCACUAUAAAUAGGACCUAGCCACCACCAUGGGAUGGGAUCGAAUCUAUUCCACCCUCUCCACCUCACCAGCUCACUUGAGCUUAAGAACACGCCUCCUAAGGCUGUUCUCCACUGUACUAGUUCUUCCUAAGCCCCUCGAGGCAAUCCACCACAAAACAGGAGUAGGGUUUUACACCGCAAGAUGGCCCGAACCUGGGUACAUUGUCGUGUCUUUCUUUCCCUUCGAGCUCGACGCGAUAGGCUGUGAGGUUUGCGAAUUGUCAGGCUGGGUAGGUUGAGAUCACUGCAUGCACCCCAGAGUUCGAACCUCUCAAGGGUUUGUGGAACCCGAAAUCCGACAAAAUGUGCCCGUUUUAAAAUUUUCUUCACAAAUUAAAACACGUCCCCUUUUUCAAAAUUUGUCGACAGAUUGAAAUAAUGUUCAGGGAGUUUCAAAUAAUCUUCAUGCAUUCAAAGUUAUUCAUAAUAUAAAAAUAUUCAUGUUUAAAAAGAACUGCACAAAUACAAAAAGAUGUCCAGGGAAAUUUUAAAAAAAUUGGUUUCAUUUUCUGUUCGUUUUUUCUGUUUUCUGGAAUUCAAAUUUAGUUACUGUUUUCUUUAAAUGUGUUCAAAAUUUUGUUGACUCUUUUUGAAAAAUGUGUGUAUUUUGACAUUAUGAGUAAUUUUGAAAGAUAUGAACUUUUGGUGAAAUUUCUUUAUCAUUUUUAGAAAUACUAAUAUUUUUAUUUUGUGAAAAGAAAAGGAAAAAUGAAACCCGAGUGGAAGUCAUGCAUAAAAAAACAAAGAAGAACCAAAGAGUGAAGGAGUUGUGUUUUUUCUUAGAUUUAUCUAUCUCGGUCAACAAGAAAAGAACAAGGUUAUUAGGCAUGCCAGAUAAGCUAUCCCAGAUGGUUUGUGCGCUUACAUACAGUUCGUGAGCUCUAGUUCGAAUCGCGUGUUGGACAUCUAUAUUUUGAAGUUUAAAAGCAAAAAAAACUGUGUUAGCCCAGGAGGAGGGGUGUGCACUACGAAUCGUAUGGCGUAUGCAUUCUACAUAUGACAGUGGUACGAUUUGCAGAAGGUCCAUACUACCCUUUAUAUGUUUUGUGAGGGGAGGGGGGAGGGGGGGUGUACCAAAGUGGGAAUCAAAUAUUUAUCUCUUGUUUCAUGCACUAUAGAUACUAGAUGAUACCCCGCGCGUUGCUGCGGGAAUUUUGUAUCAAAUGAUGUUCAAAAAGUAAGCGUACAUAAAACUAUGGAGUUCAAUGAUAUGAUGGUAUUGGAUGUUUUAGAUACCAAAUAAACGGCCGAUGUCCAACUCAUACUUGCAUAAUCAUAUAAAUAUCAUGUUUCUCUAGGUUUAGAAAGAAUAUACACAUUGUGGAAUAGAUCAAUUGUGUUCCCAUAACAAUGUCCAACACGAAGUAAAUCAAGGCAAGACAAUGAAAAAUUGCAGGUACAGAUGCCGACUUGAGGAAAGAAACGCCUCUAAGGUGAUACGGUGCAGCUGAUAUAUAUGUGGCAUACUUCCUUGUUAUAGCUAGCGUUUGUUAUACUGAACCAUAUAGUAUAUUAGCUAGUUCCAUAUAAAUGUUAUUUGAAAACCCUGAAGUGUAUCAUAAAUUAUUUUUACUCCCACUAAUUUUAAUUCAUGUGUCGUGGUAUAUUCAUCUGAGUGUGUGUAUGCAGAGGAUGAGAUGGCCAAAGUUAUUAUGCAUCUGAGCAUGUGCUGACAUCUGUCAUCAUAUCCGUCUUGCUUGAUUUCUGUUCAAGUGUGGAACCAUGGCAUUUGCAUAGUAAUAAUAAAUCAGUUGCUACGUAUAAUUGUAGCUUGAUGGAAAAUCAAGACAUAUUUGCAUAUUUGUUUUGCGCAUAUUAGGCAGCUCAAAUGUUGCAUGAGUCGCCCCUCAUGUAUGUCUAAGAAAAGGUGCAUAAAAGCAUGGUAAGAUGUAGCCAAGUCCAUAUCGGUGUAUAUGCUAACGUUGCCUAGUCGGAAGAAAGGAACCAAAAUAUAUAUGAGAUACUGUAUUCCAAUGUAGGAUGAUGACGUGAAUAAUAGAGGAACAAACCCCCUUGUACAUGAACACCGCAAUACCAUAACUUGGAAGAAGAAUUUAAGGCUACACAGAGCAUGGAUCCUAAAGCAAAUUGGCUAUGGUCGAUCAAAAUCUCAAGUAAAAUUGCUAUAUGCUUUAUCAGAGUAAGUUCUACACUACCGGCCAUACUCUCCUUUUAGCUUAUGUUUAGUAAAUUGUAAGCAUGCACAUCAUAUUGAAUCAAACUCUGAUGGUCUGAUGUGUAAACAAAUUUAGUCAUUUUUUGCCAUGACAAUAUCAUGUACUCCCUCCGUAAACUAAUAUAAGAGCGUUUAGAUAACUAUUUAGUUAUCUAAACGCUCUUAUAUUAGUUUACGGAGGGAGUAUAAAUCAUUGAAUGAGUAACAUACUGGAUUGCUGGUCGUAUUAUUUCUAGAAAGUUCUUACAACCACUGCUAUUUUCUGUCUACAUCCUUUGAAAUAACAAUGAAGGGACGGGGGAAAGUCCAAAAUAUCAUGGUGAAACGUCUGAACACCGUCAGAAAAACCAAUAACAGGAUCUCUCACCUUAGGAAAUCCCAAAUGCUCGUGAUUACACAUCAGUCAAGAAAAUCCAGAUCAAGUCUUGCUAUGAUGGAAUAGAAUAACAAAACAUGAGUGGGCAUAUAUAGGAACAAAAGAAAGAAAUUCAUUAGGAAAUAGACAAUAUUUUCUAUAUUCUGGUGGUGGAAGAGAGAAUGAGCUCACGGGCUAUUGAUCUUGUCGUGGCCGUGCCGAAAAGCUAGUGAUUGCUGACUCCAUCGUCAGGUCUAGAUGUACCUCACUUAGCAAUGCGGGCUCACAUCAAUUCUCUCCUUGGCAUCCUCACAGCCUUGCUAUCCUUGUGAAGGCGUCUACCUGGAUUCAUAGAAGGCCAGCAAAUGGUUUGGCAAUGGGACUAUGGGAGCCCUACACACAUGACGGGAGCGCCACCACGGGCCCCACUCGGCCGACCCGCCGCCACUUGCUCUGGGGUGGGGAAGGUGACCGGAGGACGCGCCGGCACCGAGCAGGGUUCGCCGCGGCCUUCCCAGACUUAUGCCGAGACACCCGGCGCGCGACCGCAAGUUAAUCGCGGAGAGUAGCCGGUUCCGAUCUCGGCGUGGCGGCAUCCUCCGCGAGGUGCUCUACUUCCCAGUCGGGAGCGCCUACGCUGGGGAAGCUGGAGGCAGGGCGGGGACGGCCACCGGGGGAACUCGUCGCCAGGGAGGGGGCGCCUCUCGCCAUUGCUUACCCUGCCAAAAAAAUAAAUUGCAUGUGCACGCCCAAGCAGUCCAGAGAGAAAUGCAAGACGGGAAGAGCAACUGAAUCGCCGGUGUAGGAAAUCGAUCCGUUUCUGUUGGUAGUGGAAUUUGAUGCAGUUUGGAGAAGAUGAAGAGGAAAGGGUGCUAAGACAUGACGCGCUGCGUUGAGGAAAAACGAUGCGAUGGGGAAUCAUGUGCACAGGUCACAGACGAAAUUCUCCUGAGAAAAAUAAAUAAAUAUUGAUGCUUAUGUGGCGGUGGGUCCUUAGCAAGUAAUAACCGAAGCUUGUGUGGUAAGGGCGUUCUAGUGGUUGGACCCAUAUGUAAGUCAAUAAAAGAAUGAUGACAUGGCUGAUGUGCUUAGGUGGAUAGGCUGCAUGUCAAGAGAAUUAGUUUAGUGGGGAUGAACUAUUUAGGUAUUAUAGAUUAUAGAUUUGCAAGCAGACUCCCCUAGCAGUAGAAGCCACCGGUGCCUCCACCGUUACACCGACUCCGCAUCCCCAUCAUAGGUGUUAGCCACGAAGACCUCCUGAGACGGGUUGUAGCUUCCCGGGCUCUUGGUGUCGAGCCAAAUUUAAGAACCGAGGGUGCAUUUGCCAUGAUAUGCACAAUUAUCUAGAUACACAUACUUUCCUUCUAAAUCCACAUCUGCCAUGAUGUAUAGAGGGUAUUUUCCAUGAUUUCAAAAGACCUUGGCAAAUUCGCUUUACAGAACACGGCAAAUUCACUUUAUGGAUCAUGGCACAUUUUUUUGACAAUGAAAAUUUCUUUCCUCAUCGUCCAUAGCAAAUUCAUCUUAUUGUCCAUGGAAAAUUUACAUUUUUCAAUAAAUUGACAUGUUUCAAAGAACAAAAAUUCCAACACUUGAUUCCUUCUGUGUCCAUGGAAAAUCCAUAAAAAAUCCCAUAUUUUUCAAAAAAAAUCUAACUUAAUGGCCCAUGGAAAAUGUAGUUUACGUCUAUGGGAAAUUCACCUUUUCCGACCAUGCAAAAUUUAUUGUUUGGAACAUGCCAUUUAAAAAAAGAUUAGACCAUCAUAAUUUUGGUUUUCACCAUAAAGUUUUACUAUUUGACCAUGGCAAAGAUUUUCUUUUACAGGCCAUGGACAAAUUUAUUGGUUUCACCCUUGCAGAUUCAUUUUGCUGGUUAGACACUGAUAAAAUUAAUUUUUUAAACCUUGACAGAGUUUAAAAUGAAGGAAAUAUGCCCUAGAGGCAAUAAUAAAGUUAUUAUUUAUUUCCUUAUUUCAUGAUAAAUGUUUAUCAUUCAUGCUAGAAUUGUAUUAACCGGAAACAUGAUACAUGUGUGAAUGCAUAAACAAACAACAUGUCACUAGUAUGCCUCUACUAGACUAGCUUGUUAAUCAAAGAUGGUUAUGUUUCCUGACCAUGAACAAAGAGUUGUUAUUUGAUUAACGAGGUCACAUCAUUAGUAGAAUGAUCUGAUUGACAUGACCCAUUCCAUUAGCUUAGCACACGAUCGUUUAGUAUGUUGCUACUGCUUUUAUCCAUGACUUAUACAUGUUCCUGUAACUAUGAGAUUAUGCAACUCCCGUUUACCGGAGGAACACUUUGGGUGCUACCAAACGUCACAACGUAACUGGGUGAUUAUAAAGGAGUACUACAGGUGUCUCCAAAGGCAGAUGUUGGGUUGGCGUAUUUCGAGAUUAGGUUUUGUCACUCCGAUUGUCGGAGAGGUAUCUCUGGGCCCUCUCGGUAAUGCACAUCACUAAAGCCUUGCAAGCAUUACAACUAAUGAGUUAGUUGUGAGAUGAUGUAUUACGGAACGAGUAAAGAGACUUGCCGGUAACGAGAUUGAACUAGGUAUUGGAUACCGACGAUCGAAUCUCGGGCAAGUAACAUACCGAUGACAAAGGGAACAACGUAUGUUGUUAUGCGGUCUGACCGAUAAAGAUCUUCGUAGAAUAUGUAGGAACCAAUAUGGGCAUCCAGGUCCCGCUGUUGGUUAUUGACCGGAGACGUGUCUCGGUCAUGUCUACAUUGUUCUCGAACCGUAGGGUCCGCACGCUUAAGGUUUCGAUGACAGUUAUUAUGAGUUUAUGUAUUUUGAUGUACCGAAGAAGUUCGGAGUCCCGGAUGUGAUCACGGACAUGACGAGGAGUCUCGAAAUGGUUGAGACAUAAAGAUUGAUAUAUUGGACGGCUAUAUUCGGACACCGGAAAGGUUCCGGAAGUUUCCGGAGAAAACCGGAGUGCCGGAGGGGUUACCGGAACCCCCCGGGGGAAGUUAUGGGCCUUAGUGGGCCAAGAGGGGAGAGAGAGGGGCCGCACCAGGAGGUGGCGCCCCCCCAGGGGAGUCCGAAUAGGACAAGGAGGGGGGGGCGCGGCCCCCCUUUCCCUCUCCCUCUCCCUCUCUUUCCUUCCCCCUUCUCCCUUCCUAGUUGGACUAGGAGAGGGGAGUCCUACUCUAACUAGGAGGAGGACUCCCCCCUCCCUUGGCGCGCCACUAGGGCCGGCCGGCCUCCCCCUUGCUCCUUUAUAUACGGGGGCAGGGGGGCACCCUAGGACACACAAGUUUGAUCUACGGAUCGUUCCUUAGCCGUGUGCGGUGCCCCCUUCCACCAUAUUCCACCUCGGUCAUAUCGUCGCGAAGCUUAGGCGAAGCUCUGCGCCGGUAGAACAUCAAGAUCGUCACCACGCCGUCGUGCUGACGGAACUCUCCCUCGACACUCGGCUGGAUCGGAGUACGAGGGACGUCAUCGAGCUGUACGUGUGUCAAGAACUCGGGGGUGCCGGAGUAACGGCGCCGGGAUCGGUCGGAUCGCGAGGAGAACGUACGACUACUUCCUCUACGUUGUGAUCGCUUCCGCUUCGGGUCUACGAGGGUACGUAGACAACACUCUCCCCUCUCGUUGCUAUGCAUCACCAUGAUCUUGCGUGUGCGUAGGAAAAUUUUGAAAUUACUACGUUCCCCAACAGUGGCAUCCGAGCCUAGGUUUUUAUGGUUUGAUGUUUUGCACGAGUAGAACACAAGUGAGUUGUGGGCGAUACAAGUCAUACUACCUACUAGCAUGUCAUACUUUGGUUCAGCGGUAUUGUGAGAUGAAGCGGCCCAGACCGACAUUACGCGUACGCUUACGCGAGACUGGUUUCACCGCUACGAGCACUCGUUGCUUAAAGGUGACUGGUGGGUGCCUGUCUCUCUCACUUUAGUUGAACCGAGUGUGGCUACGCCCGGUCCUUGAGAAGGUUAAAACGGAGUCUAUUUGACGAAGUAUCGUUGUGGUUUUGAUGCGUAGGUGAGACUGGUUCUUGCUUAAGCCCGUAGCAGCCACGUAAAAUUUGCAACAACAAAGUAGAGGACGUCUAACUUGUUUUUGCAGGGCAUGUUGUGAUGUGAUAUGGUCAAGACGUGAUGCUAUAUUUU